UACGAGAGGCCCAAACGUUAUUCGGAAUUACUGGGCUUAAAGAGUUCGUAGGCGGCAUUGCAAGUAGGGUGUGAAAGCCCUCGGCUCAACCGAGGAAUUGCGCUCUAAACUGCAGUGCUCGAGGAAGCUAGAGGUGAGCAGAACAGAUGGUGGAGCGGUGAAAUGCGUUGAUAUCAUCUGGAAUACCGGAGGCGAAGUCGGCUCACUGGGGCUUUUCUGACGCUGAGGAACGAAAGCCAGGGUAUCGAUCGGG
This 253-nucleotide ribosomal RNA is filed under the name uncultured bacterium. RNAcentral's name for it is "partial 16S ribosomal RNA". It matches the Rfam family "Bacterial small subunit ribosomal RNA", at positions 524 to 776 of the family's 1533-position model. The record is from RNAcentral.